GAUGAACGCCGGCGGCGUGCCUAAUACAUGCAAGUCGAGCGAACGGACGAGAAGCUUUCUUCUCUGAUGUUAGCGGCGGACGGGUGAGUAACACGUGGAUAACCUCCCUAUAAAACUGGGAUAACUUCGGGAAACCGUAGCUAAUACCGGAUAAUAUUUUGAACCGCAUGGUUCAAAAGUGAAAGACGGUCUUGCUGUCACUUAUAGAUGGAUCCGCGCUUCAUUAGCUAGUUGGUAAGGUAACGGCUUACCAAGGCAACGAUGCAUAGCCGACCUGAGAGGGUGAUCGGCCACACUGGAACUGAGACACGGUCCAGACUCCUACGGGAGGCAGCAGUAGGGAAUCUUCAGCAAUGGGCGAAAGCCUGACGGAGCAACGCCGCGUGAGUGAUGAAGGUCUUCGGAUCGUAAAACUCUGUUAUUAGGGAAGAACAUAUGUGUAAGUAAAUGUGCACAUCUUGACGGUACCUAAUCAGAAAGCCACGGCUAACUACGUG
RNAcentral lists this ribosomal RNA (497 nucleotides) under uncultured bacterium. RNAcentral's name for it is "partial 16S ribosomal RNA". It matches the Rfam family "Bacterial small subunit ribosomal RNA", at positions 28 to 507 of the family's 1533-position model. The record is from RNAcentral.